Molecule: long non-coding RNA, 746 nt
Filed under: Malus domestica (apple)
Lineage: Eukaryota; Viridiplantae; Streptophyta; Magnoliopsida; Rosales; Rosaceae
Description: long non-coding RNA (MDOM_LNC014816)
Source: RNAcentral
UGUAGUUCGGAGAGGUAGGACUGUAUGGACUAGAUGGUGACAAUCUUGGACUGCUUGGAGAGUAAGCUGAUGACGGACUGUACUUGGCAGACUGAGGAUUAUAGCUUGGAGAUGUAGGGCUGUAACUGGGCGAGGUUGGACUAUAACUAGGCGAGGUUGGGCUGUAACCAGGAGAAGUUGGGCUGUAGGCUGGCGAGGUAGGGCUGUAGGAUGGAGAUGUUGGACUGUAGGAAGGAGAAGUUGGGCUGUAGGAAGGCGAAGUUGGGCUGUAGGAUGGCGAAGUUGGGCUGUAGGAAGGAGACGUGGGACUGUAAGAUGGCGAAGUGGGGCUAUAUGCGGGGGAAGUGGGGCUGUAAGCAGGUGAAGUGGGGCUGUAAGCAGGGGAAGUAGGGCUGUAGCUUGGUGAAGUGGGGCUGUAGCUUGGAGAGGUGGGGCUGUAGCUGGGAGAGGUUGGCGAGUAUGAUGGACUCGUAGGAGAGUAAGCUGGACUGGUGGGACUAUAGCCGGAGAACUAGGACUAUAUGUCGGAGAGGUGGGACUGUACCCAGGAGAAGUGGGGCUAUACCCUGGAGAGGUGGGACUGUAGCCAGGAGAAGUGGGGCUGUAUCCAGGGGAGGAAGGGCUGUAUCCAGGGGAUGAUGGGCUGUAGCCUGGAGAGGAAGUAGGAGAGAAUGCCAUUCCUCCAACAUAAGGAGAAAACUGAGCAUCCGAAAUUGGUGACAGCCGAAGAUUUGGGCUCAGCAAAU